AGGAAUAUUGGUCAAUGGGAGAGAUCCUGAACCAGCCAAGCCGCGUGAGGGAAGACGGCACUACGUGUUGUAAACCUCUUUUGCCGGGGAACAAAAGCGGGGACGCGUCCCCGUCUGCGUGUACCCGGAGAAAAAGCAUCGGCUAACUCCGUGCCAGCAGCCGCGGUAAUACGGAGGAUGCGAGCGUUAUCCGGAUUUAUUGGGUUUAAAGGGUGCGUAGGCGGAUUCUCAAGUCAGCGGUCAAAACCCGGGGCUCAACCCCGGCCUGCCGUUGAAACUGGGAAUCUUGAGUGAGCGAGAAGUAAGCGGAAUGCGUGGUGUAGCGGUGAAAUGCAUAGAUAUCACGCAGAACCCCGAUUGCGAAGGCAGCUUACCGGCGCUCAACUGACGCUGAGGCACGAAAGUGCGGGGAUCAAACAGG
Molecule: ribosomal RNA, 421 nt
Filed under: uncultured bacterium
Lineage: Bacteria
Description: bacterial SSU rRNA
Rfam family: Bacterial small subunit ribosomal RNA
Source: RNAcentral